GCUGUUGCCCCUCUUCACAGCCUCCCCCUCGAUGUAAAUGGGUGUUUGUGCUGCUGUCUGUUUCCUGUAGUCACUCAGAGGUUGUUGUUCUGUCCCCCUGUAGACUGCCUCAUUGUUGUUUAUGAUAAAGUGGGCAAACUUUGUGAUGCUGUUUGUGCUGGACCAACCCACACAGUCGUGUGUGAACAAGGAGAACUGCAAGAGGCUCAACAACACGUAUUGAGAGUCACAGAGGAGGAGGUGUUCUUGCUUGUCUGCACAUCUAGAGGUCUGACAGCGAAGCGGUCCUGAACCCACCUGCAUAGAGAGGGGCCUAAGUCCUGAAUCCAGAAGCUUGUGUUUGGGUGUCAGGAAACGCAGCAGCAGGCUGAAGUAGAGCAGGAUGAAACAGCUGCAUCUUCAGGGUUUCAGGGUCACGGGGAACCUGGAGCCGAUCUCAGGGAGCAUGGGACACAAGAUGGGGUACACCCUGGACGAGCUGCCAAUCCAUCGCAGGGCACAAUCACACACACAUUAAUACAGUACGGACACUUUGGACACGCCAAUCAACCUACAAUGCAUGUCUUUUGGACUGGGGGAGGAAACCGGAGUACCCGGAGGAAAGAGCACGGGGAGAACAUGCAAACUCUGUGCACACAGGGCAGUGGUGGGAAUCGAACCCCGACCCUGGAGGUGUGAGGCGAACGUGCUAACCACCGAUCCUCUGUGUGCCCCAUAGAGUUAAUGAUGCAGCUGUGGUUGAUCUUUAUCUCUUCACUGAAGAUAGAACAGGGCGAGUUGCAGACCCUGAUCAGGAGGCCGAGCAGACAGCUGAUAAAAGUCCCCGUUAAAUCAGGACAGAAUAAAGAGACGGGAGAAACAUGUCUGCGCUUCACAACAAUCCCAGCAGUUCUUUAUUAAAUACAG
This is a long non-coding RNA of Ictalurus punctatus (channel catfish), 906 nucleotides long. The record is from Ensembl. NCBI's taxonomy places the organism in Eukaryota, Metazoa, Chordata, Actinopteri, Siluriformes, Ictaluridae.